Molecule: ribosomal RNA, 288 nt
Filed under: uncultured bacterium
Lineage: Bacteria
Description: partial 16S ribosomal RNA
Rfam family: Bacterial small subunit ribosomal RNA
Source: RNAcentral
GUGCCGCCGCCGCGGUAAUACGGAGGGUGCAAGCGUUGUCCGGAAUCACUGGGCGUAAAGGGUGCGCAGGCGGGGCAGCAAGUCGGAGGUGAAAGCCCAUGGCUCAACCAUGGAAGUGCCUUCGAAACUGUUGCUCUUGAGUCCCGGAGAGGCUGUCGGAAUUCGUGGUGUAGCGGUGAAAUGCGUAGAUAUCACGAGGAACACCAGAGGCGAAAGCGGACAGCUGGACGGGUACUGACGCUCAGGCACGAAAGCGUGGGGAGCAAACAGGAUUAGAACCCGGGAUCC